UACAGAGGUCCCGAGCGUUGUUCGGAUUCACUGGGCGUAAAGGGUGCGUAGGUGGUGAGGUAAGUGGGAUGUGAAAUCCCCGGGCUUAACCUGGGAAUUGCAUUUCAAACUGGCGGACUAGAGUGCGGUAGAGGGAGGUAGAAUUUCCUGUGUAGCGGUGAAAUGCGUAGAUAUAGGAAGGAAUACCAGUGGCGAAGGCGGCCUCCUGGAUCGACACUGACGCUGAGGCGCGAAAGCGUGGGGAGCAAACAGG
Molecule: ribosomal RNA, 253 nt
Filed under: uncultured bacterium
Lineage: Bacteria
Description: partial 16S ribosomal RNA
Rfam family: Bacterial small subunit ribosomal RNA
Source: RNAcentral